This 496-nucleotide ribosomal RNA is filed under the name uncultured bacterium. RNAcentral describes it as "partial 16S ribosomal RNA". It matches the Rfam family "Bacterial small subunit ribosomal RNA", at positions 29 to 507 of the family's 1533-position model. The record is from RNAcentral.
AUGCACGCUGGCGGCGUGCCUCAUACAUGCAAGUCGCGCGAACGGACGAGAAGCUUGCUUCUCUGAUGUUAGCGGCGGACGGGUGAGUAACACGUGGAUAACCUACCUAUAAGACUGGGAUAACUUCGGGAAACCGGAGCUAAUACCGGAUAAUAUUUUGAACCGCAUGGUUCAAAAGUGAAAGACGGUCUUGCUGUCACUUAUAGAUGGAUCCGCGCUGCAUUAGCUAGUUGGUAAGGUAACGGCUUACCAAGGCAACGAUGCAUAGCCGACCUGAGAGGGUGAUCGGCCACACUGGAACUGAGACACGGUCCAGACUCCCACGGGAGGCAGCAGUAGGGAAUCUUCCGCAAUGGGCGAAAGCCUGACGGAGCAACGCCGCGUGAGUGAUGAAGGUCUUCGGAUCGUAAAACUCUGUUAUUAGGGAAGAACAUAUGUGUAAGUAACUGUGCACAUCUUGACGGUACCUAAUCAGAAAGCCACGGCUAACUACGUG